This 31-nucleotide non-coding RNA is filed under the name Homo sapiens (human). The record is from RNAcentral. Lineage: Eukaryota; Metazoa; Chordata; Mammalia; Primates; Hominidae.
UUGAUGUUGGGAAGAUAGAUUAGUAGUGAGG